RNAcentral lists this ribosomal RNA (640 nucleotides) under Bacillus pumilus. Its description in RNAcentral is "bacterial SSU rRNA". It matches the Rfam family "Bacterial small subunit ribosomal RNA", at positions 30 to 657 of the family's 1533-position model. The record is from RNAcentral. Lineage: Bacteria; Bacillati; Bacillota; Bacilli; Caryophanales; Bacillaceae.
GGGGAGUUGGCGGGUGCUAUACAUGCAGUCGAGCGGACAGAAGGGAGCUUGCUCCCGGAUGUUAGCGGCGGACGGGUGAGUAACACGUGGGUAACCUGCCUGUAAGACUGGGAUAACUCCGGGAAACCGGAGCUAAUACCGGAUAGUUCCUUGAACCGCAUGGUUCAAGGAUGAAAGACGGUUUCGGCUGUCACUUACAGAUGGACCCGCGGCGCAAUAGCUAGUUGGUGGGGUAAUGGCUCACCAAGGCGACGAUGCGUAGCCAACCUGAGAGGGUGAUCGGCCACACUGGGACUGAGACACGGCCCAGACUCCUACGGGAGGCACCAUUAGGGAAUCUUCCGCAAUGGACGAAAGUCUGACGGAGCAACGCCCCGUGAGUGAUGAAGGUUUUCGGAUCGUAAAGCUCUUUUGUUAGGGAAGAACAAGUGCGAGAGUAACUGCUCGCACCUUGACGGUACCUAACCAGAAUGCCCCUGCUAACUACGUGCCAGCCGCCUCUGUAAUACUUAUGUGGCAAGCGUUGUCCGGAAUUAUUUGUCGUACAGGGCUCGCAGCAGUCUCUUAAGUCUCAUGUGAAGGCGCCCGCGCUCACCCUGUGAUGGUCAUUGGAAACUGGGACACUUGAGUGCAGAGGAGG